Molecule: long non-coding RNA, 1227 nt
Filed under: Oryctolagus cuniculus (rabbit)
Lineage: Eukaryota; Metazoa; Chordata; Mammalia; Lagomorpha; Leporidae
Description: lncRNA (ENSOCUG00000035838.1)
Source: RNAcentral
AUGAAUGAGUAUCUUCCACGGGCUGGUUCACCCCGACAUCACCGCAACAGCCAGAGCUGGGCCAGGCUGACCGCCACCCAGGUCUCCCGCAUCACCUGCUGCCUCCCGGGGUGCACGUGGGCAGGAAGGGGACUGGGAGCUCAGGAGGCGGGACUGGGAGCUCAGGAGCCCCGAGCGGGAGGCGGGACUGGGAGCUCAGGAGCCCGGGCAGGAGGCGGGACUGGGAGCUCAGGAGCCCCGGGCAGGAAGGGGACUGGGAGCUCAGGAGCCCCGAGCAGGAAGGGGACUGGGAGCUCAGGAGCCCGGGCAGGAGGCGGGACUGGGAGCUCAGGAGCCCCGGGCAGGAAGGGGACUGGGAGCUCAGGAGCCCCAGGCAGGAAGGGGACUGGGAGCUCAGGAGCCCCGGGCAGGAAGGGGACUGGGAGCUCAGGAGCCCCGGGCAGGAAGGGGACUGGGAGCUCAGGAGGCGGGACUGGGAGCUCAGGAGCCCCGCCUCCACCCUGCACCCCAAGACAGAACGCGGGCAUCGCAAGAGGCAGCGCGACCCUCGCGCCACAACACCCCUUCCCCGAUGGUCUUUGUCAAUGGAGGCCAAGCAAUGAGAAAGGAAGAGUACAUUUUCCAGAUUUUUCUAGUCCCUUCUACGCCCAAACAUUCAGAAGCUGUAGAAUAAUUUUUUUUCUUAUAAAAACGGACCUGUUCUCUGCCACAGUUAUCAGAGAAGCAACUCCACGUGGUGAAACUGAACAAAGAGGACAGAGGUGGGGAAGAGAGAAGGAAGGGCGGUGUACGGCAGACGGGGGGCGUCACCUGCACGGCCCAGAGGUCCGGUACUGCCAUCGGCCAUAUUCAGGGCGGAUGCAGACGCCAGAAGCACUCAGUGAGCAUGCGCUAAGUCAGCGAGCUGGUGAGCAUGCGCUAAGUCAAAGACCUGGCAAGCAUGCGCCAAGUCAGGGAGCUGGUGAGCAUGCGCUAAGUCAAAGACUUGGCAAGCAUGCGCUAAGUCAGGGAGCUGGUGAGCAUGCGCUAAGUCAAAGACCUGGCAGGCAUGCGCUAAGUCGGGGAGCUGAUGAGCAUGCGCUAAGUCAGAGAGCUGGUGAGCAUGCGCCAAGCCCUCAGUUUGGACAAAGGGGGAAAUACGAACUCGUGUGGCCUGCCGCUCCGCGGGCCUGGAGUUCCCGAUCACCGGGUGGGUGCCACGGCUGGGUAGGAAUACCGUCCCCGUGA